GGAGAUCGUCGGAGGCAAAAUCACAUUAUCAAACUAUCAUUUUUGGGAGAAUUAAUUCAAAUAUUAGAAAUAUCAAGUGAGUGACAUGUAUAGGAAGUUGGUUGUGAUAUGGUCUAAUUACUAUUUAAGGACCCUCAAUUUAAAAUUUCAUAACAAUUGGACACCUCUAGUAUGUAGAACUCAACUUUUGCACUUUUUACGAUUUAGUCCUUUUGACUAAAUUAAUUGCCCGAAUGUCAAAAUUUUAGAAUAAAAUUUUCACGAAAUUAUUCUGUGAAAUCGUAGACCAUAAAAUAUAAUAAAAAAUAAAAUUUUCAUCGUCGAAUUUGUGGUCCUGAAACCACUGUUCCGACUAGGCCCAAAAUCAAGGUGUUACAGAUAGUACAAAAAAGGAAGUUAUGUAAUGGAUGGAAGCAAAAUUAUGGUCCAUUGGUGAAAGCUAAGUUUGAUGCCAACAAGAAGGACUGUUUAGAGUGGUAACUGAUAUGGAAUGGUGAAAAUGGAUGUGAGUUGAGGAAAGGAAUUAUCAGUAUAUAGUGGACCUAAGUCAAAGGAUAUGUAGUUGUAGAAGUUGGCAAAUUAGUGGGAUUCCAUGUUCCCAUGCAUGUGCUGCCAUGUAUCACUUAGGGCUUCAACCAGAUGAAUAUUUGCAUGAAUAUUAUCACAUUGAUACCUACAUGAAAGCUUACUCUUUUCUAAUGCAGCCCAUAAAUAGGCCACAUUAUUAGGAAAAAACUGGUAUUCAGCAAGUGCUACCUCCUAUUGAAAGGAAGAUGCUUGGAAGGCCCAAAAAGAAUAGGAGGAUGGCCAAAGAUGAACCCAAAAAAUUGAAGCCUGGUCACUUGAGUAGGAAAGGUUUACUCAUGACAUGUACUCAAUGUGGCCAACAUGGCCAUAACAAGCGGUCUUGCACAAAUUCAAAAUAGCAAGAUGUACAACCAACUAAUUAAAAGGGGAAAUCUUCCAUUAAAAGUCUGGUAGAACCAUAAAGAGCAUGACGACAGCUUCAUGCCAAGAUGGUAAUGGACAAACUUCUUCAACACCCAAAUCGCGAAAUAACAAGCGAAAAGGCUCCUCUCGACCACCUGGGAACACAAGAAUCAGUUGCAGGAAACAUGAGACUAUCUCGUGACAGCUCGUGAUCCAAAAAGUACUGUGUAAGGUAUUUUGCUUACAACAUUCUGGUUUUGGAAUAGAAUAUGGUAGUUACAUUUUGAGCUUACAACAUUCUGGUUUUGGAAUACACCAUUGUUGAAUGUUAUUUUGUUGUCUUGAAAACCAAUAUGUUGGUUUUCUUUUUGGUUUAUGUAUAGCUCACUCAUAUUUUGGUUUUUGGCUGCUAUAGCAUUGAUGGUGUAUAGGGUGAAUGGUGUAUAGACUAAUCAUAUGCUUUUGUAAAGUACAUUUAUCGAAAUUGUAAAGUACAUUUAUCCAAAUCAUAUGCUUAAAUGAUCAAA
This is a long non-coding RNA of Gossypium arboreum, 1457 nucleotides long. RefSeq lists it as uncharacterized. The record is from RefSeq and is a predicted model, not a curated record. Lineage: Eukaryota; Viridiplantae; Streptophyta; Magnoliopsida; Malvales; Malvaceae. The transcript has 4 exons.